GGAGAAACAGCUCAGUGGUAGAGCAUGUGCUUAUUAGCAUGCAUGAGGUCCUAAGUUCAAUCCCCAGUGUCUUCA
Molecule: transfer RNA, 75 nt
Filed under: Camelus ferus (Wild Bactrian camel)
Lineage: Eukaryota; Metazoa; Chordata; Mammalia; Artiodactyla; Camelidae
Rfam family: tRNA
About the family: Transfer RNA (tRNA) molecules are approximately 80 nucleotides in length. Their secondary structure includes four short double-helical elements and three loops (D, anti-codon, and T loops). Further hydrogen bonds mediate the characteristic L-shaped molecular structure. tRNAs have two regions of fundamental functional importance: the anti-codon, which is responsible for specific mRNA codon recognition, and the 3' end, to which the tRNAs corresponding amino acid is attached (by aminoacyl-tRNA synthetases). tRNAs cope with the degeneracy of the genetic code in two manners: having more than one tRNA (with a specific anti-codon) for a particular amino acid; and 'wobble' base-pairing, i.e. permitting non-standard base-pairing at the 3rd anti-codon position.
Source: Rfam by way of RNAcentral